This 497-nucleotide ribosomal RNA is filed under the name uncultured bacterium. RNAcentral describes it as "partial 16S ribosomal RNA". It matches the Rfam family "Bacterial small subunit ribosomal RNA", at positions 28 to 507 of the family's 1533-position model. The record is from RNAcentral.
GAUGAACGCUGGCGGCGUGCCUAAUACAUGCAAGUCGAGCGAACAGACGAGGAGCUUGCUCCUUUGACGUUAGCGGCGGACGGGUGAGUAACACGUGGGUAACCUACCUAUAAGACUGGGAUAACUUCGGGAAACCGGAGCUAAUACCGGAUAAUAUUUCGAACCGCAUGGUUCGAUAGUGAAAGAUGGCUUUGCUAUCACUUAUAGAUGGACCUGCGCCGUAUUAGCUAGUUGGUAAGGUAACGGCUUACCAAGGCAACGAUACGUAGCCGACCUGAGAGGGUGAUCGGCCACACUGGAACUGAGACACGGUCCAGACUCCUACGUGAGGCAGCAGUAGGGAAUCUUCCGCAAUGGGCGAAAGCCUGACGGAGCAACGCCGCGUGAGUGAUGAAGGUCUUCGGAUCGUAAAACUCUGUUAUUAGGGAAGAACAAACGUGUAAGUAACUGUGCACGUCUUGACGGUACCUAAUCAGAAAGCCACGGCUAACUACGUG